GCACUGUUGAGGAGUCUCACAAUAGGACGAAACACUCGUCCAGUGC
Molecule: non-coding RNA, 46 nt
Organism: Schistosoma rodhaini
Lineage: Eukaryota; Metazoa; Platyhelminthes; Trematoda; Strigeidida; Schistosomatidae
Source: Rfam